GUAGGUGGCGAGCGUUGUCCGGAAUUAUUGGGCGUAAAGCGCGCGCAGGCGGUUCUUUAAGUCUGAUGUGAAAGCCCACGGCUCAACCGUGGAGGGUCAUUGGAAACUGGAGAACUUGAGUACAGAAGAGGAAAGCGGAAUUCCACGUGUAGCGGUGAAAUGCGUAGAGAUGUGGAGGAACACCAGUGGCGAAGGCGGCUUUCUGGUCUGUAACUGACGCUGAGGCGCGAAAGCGUGGGGAGCAAACAGGAUUAGAUACCCUGGUAGUCCACGCCGUAAACGAUGAGUGCUAAGUGUUAGGGGGGUUUUCCGCCCCCCUUAGUGCUGCAGCUAACGCAUUAAGCACUCCGCCUGGGAGUACGGCCGCAAGGCUG
RNAcentral lists this ribosomal RNA (374 nucleotides) under uncultured organism. RNAcentral describes it as "partial 16S ribosomal RNA". It matches the Rfam family "Bacterial small subunit ribosomal RNA", at positions 527 to 896 of the family's 1533-position model. The record is from RNAcentral.